Long non-coding RNA from Malania oleifera, 6363 nucleotides. RefSeq lists it as uncharacterized. The record is from RefSeq and is a predicted model, not a curated record. NCBI's taxonomy places the organism in Eukaryota, Viridiplantae, Streptophyta, Magnoliopsida, Santalales, Ximeniaceae. The transcript is spliced from 4 exons.
UUUUCUAGUUUCCCACACUAUUCAUUCUUCACGAGGUUAGAACUUUGAGGCAUCCUUGCCCAAACUUUAAGCUCCGAUGUACCCGAAGGCAACUAUGUCGAGUACACGGAACGAGAGUUCCAAAUUGUCAUUCAUGAAAGGAGAACAUUUUAGUUCCUGCGAAAGCGUUCCUACGCAUGGAUGUAGUCAUGUAGAUGUACACACUAGACAGGAUCUGGAGCCCAAAGAGAGGUACAAUGGAUGUCAAUGCCGCAGAGAAAGAAGAUCGCGCUCAUUCUCUCAUGGCGUCAAAGAGGAAGCGCUCGACAAAUGCAUCCGCACCGUUGGCUGAACCCCCAGAUUCAAUCAACCCCAUUCGUGCGUUUGCUUUUCUCGACUUAUUCUACUAUCUUUCUUCAGUUUUGUUUAUCAUCUUCGUGUUUUUUUUUUUCCUUUUUUGGACAUAAAUUUGGUACCGCAUUAUUGGGAAUCUGGGUUUUUGAUGCUGAAGUUUGCUAGUUUAAAAUAGAUUUGGGAACAGCUUUUAGAGCUCAGGAGGGUUUUUUGCUUUCAGAAUUUACCUUUUAUUUUUUGGGCAUUUGUAGAAGGAGCUUGUUGCUUUUUGAUUUGGGUUGCUGGGUAUUCCAGUGUUUGUGAUGUAUGGCCGCUUUAGUUAGUUGGCAAAUUGUUUUAGUACUUCACGGCUUAAAAUAAAUUUCUGUGUUUAUUUUUCAAGCCAGAGCCAUUCAGCAUCUGUAGUACAAUGCGAGACUUCGUAAUAACUAUGACAUUGUGGAGCUUGCCAUUUGGACAUGGUUUGAAAGUGAAUUGAUUGUCAAUGCCAGAGGUGACAAGGUUUAAGGUUUACUAGAAUAUAUUUUCUUUGGUGUAAUGGUAAUGUAUUUGAUUGCUCAUUUUUUUUAUUUCAUUUACUAGGCUUUUACAUGGAGUAUCUGUGAUUUCUCUUAUAUCUUUGGUCUCUCUUCAGUUACACUAGCGUCCUUGGGCUAUGUUCCUUGAGCUUCUUGACCCUUUAAGUGCUAUCCUGGUAUCUAGUAGAUAAGAUGGUUCUCAUGCCCUGAACUGAAAUUAUCUUUCUAUGCAUGGUCUUCAUGAACCUUUUCUUAUUUGCUCCAUCAUGAACCUAGGACUGAAACCUUUCUUAACUGGGAAUUGCUAAAGCUCAUUCUUUCAUUUUCUCUGGGUGCAUGGGGAAGGGUGGCAUGAAAUAUUAUAGGAAUUGGAUAGAAAGUCACCCAAAUCCCAAAUAACCUUCAAAACCCUUUGAAUGUCAUUUAUCAUUGGCAAUGUCUAAUGCCUCUAAUUAAAGCUGUCUUUCUAUGCAUGGCCAUCAUGAGCCUUUUCUCAUUUGCUGAGAAUGUUGGUCACUGGGACUGAAAAUUUUCUGAGGUGGGAGCAUUCUUUCAUUUUUCUUUGGGCGUAUGAGGAAGGGUGGAAUGAGAGCUAAAAGGUGAUAGCCUCUAGCGUGGGCUUAACCUAGUUAUAAAAUUUCCAAUUACACUAAUUCUGUAUGCUUCCUUUAUUAAUUAUUGCUUGUGCCGUCUCCUUGGAUGACAUGACCUAAAUAAUCAGCUCAUUUUCUCCUCUUGAUUAAGAUUUUUACAUGGAAGGCUUCCAAUCCUUCAGUUUUAAGGCGGUUGCACAUAUGCCACCAGAGUCCAUUGAGAGGGCUACAUUGUUAAUGAAAACUUUUGCUCUAGUGGCAGAUGUUGAGCUUUUAGAGUGCACUUGUGUUUAGAAAAUCUUAAGGGCUUAGAAAAAAUAGGUGAAUCUAAGUCGCUGUUAAUAAGAAUUGAAGUGGGAGGUGAGUCUAAGUUGGUGAUUGAUUGCACCCUAUAUAAUUGCAAGGCCCCGGAAACUAUGAGCAUUGUUGCAAGUUACAGGCUCGAUCAAAUCCAGGAUUUUGAGGAAGUCUCCUUUAGCAAUGUUUACAUGAAACAAAAUGAUCUGCAGAUGCUGUAGCAUUGGCCAUAUGUACCAGGAAACUAGACAGUGAACUAAUAUUACACAUGAGAUUCGGGAUAUUUUGUGGGGUAAUAUAUGUAGUGUCUCAACCUUGUUUUCGAUGUUCCAGUUUGCUACUUCCCAACUCCAAAAGAGAGAUAAUGUUGAAUCUCCUUGAAGAUGGACAUAUUUAUGUCUUGACAUUUUAAUCUGAACAGGCUUGGGAUUUCCUUUGUGCUUUAGGUGCCUUUUUUUAAUUUUUUUACAUAUUUGCUUUUUCCAGUUCGGUGUCAUCAGCAGUUGUUUGGCAGCUUUUUUUUUUUUCUUCUUAGAAACAAAGAAUUUUAUUCAAAGAGAGAAAAGAAUAUAUCUUGGAAGAGAGACAUCCUCCAAACCAACAAGAAAGAAACUCAACGGAGAAAUAGAGAUCAGGAACCGAAAAAAAAAAAAGCCAAGUACAACACUAAUGCAGCAAAGCCACCUACGCUGCUUAUCAGGUGAAGAUACUCUUCUAAAAAGCCAUUUGAAGAACACCAAAAUGACGCAAAAAAACACCACCUCACUCCAAACCAGCAUGGGAGGUACCUUCAAGAUUCUAGCAUUCCUCUCCGAGCAUACACACCAAAACCUCUAAAGAGCUUUCCUGUGACCCUGUCCCUCUCCUUUCCAAACUUGUUAAAUGAAGACGACAAAGGCUAUCCAAGUCAGAAGGGCAAACCCAGUUCUUCCCAAAAACAAGAAGCAUAUUAUUCCAAAUACACUUUAUGACAAAGGACAAUGCAAGAAUAAUAUGAAUACCUCUCCCCACUACUAAACCGAAGCACACAGACAUCUGGAUACAAUGCCUUGUUAGGCCUCUUCUCAAGCAAAUCAUUGACAAGUUUUUCAAAUUGCUGUCCAAGUGACACCCUUUUGUCUUUAGGGAAUCUUCAGUCCUGUUUAGUUGAGUAGAACAUUUUCCAUUUCUGUUUUUUUUUUUUUCCAAAAAAUUAUAAAAAUUCCAACUUAUUUUUAGCUUUUCAUGAUUUAUAUUAAUAAGGUAGAAAAUAAAGAGUUUGUUUAGUUGUGCAAGACAAUUUUUUAUUUUAAUUUUUAGGAUCAUGGAUUUUGGGACUAGGAUUUAAAUUUGUGUGGAUUUGGAGGCAACUCUAUACAAUCUAUGCCAUAUUUUUCAUGAUUUACACAAAUCCAAAUUCAAGAUUUGAAUUCUAUGCUCCCAAACACAGAGUAAGAAAUCAGAAAUUUAAAAAAUAAUAAAAAAUGUUUUCCAAAUUUCCUAUACAAAUUUAGAAAAUUGGAAAACUAGAUAGCAUUUUUGUAAUUAUUUGAAAAAUUGGAAGUAAAAAAUGAACUAUUUCCAUAAGCAAAUAGUGCCAAGACAUGUUAUUGUUUUUCAUUUUUUGCAUACAAAUGUUGUAAAACUGAAAAAUUAGCUGACUCUUUUUGUAAUUUUUGGGAAAACUAAAAUGAAAAAUGAAAAAUAUUUUCUGCAACUGAACGGGCCCUUAGGUUUCCUAAUAAAGGAAUAUAAGGAAAAGGAGUAGCACCAAGAGCGUGGAUUGUAUGAGUUAAAGAUUUUCAAUAAAAGUUUUGAGAAGCAUUGGAUCCCAAUUCCUUUUAUCCCUCCUUAAAAGACAUACAAUAAGACCCAAGCACAUUCAGCAACAAGAUCAAUUCAUUCAUCUCUCUAACAUUCAAAUUCCUCACUAAGUAAAAAUUCCAUGACUCCACUCUCUGAAUUAAGAAAAACAAAAAUCGGAGACUGGGGCAUCAAGAAUGCUAGACAAACAAAAGUGAUAGGAAAAAGCUUAAAUUGAAGGAGCCUUCCCGACCCAAUGAUUCUACCAAAAAUGGAUUUUCUGAUCUCUCCCAUUGACCGUCUGGCAGCAUGUUUUUCAUUUGCUCCCUGGAUUGUUAUGAUUCAGUAAAUGAAUCCAUUUGUCCCCACCGCCACCCCCCAUCCCACCCCCCGUUUGCAGCCCCAACACCACAAAUGGGAAGUUUUGGAUCCAAAUUGGAUUUUAGAAGGAAAACCAUGGAUGGCACAAAAGUUCCCCAUCCACCUAUCUCAUUGAACCACAGCUUCAUUGGUCAUUACUGUUCUUUAGUGAUACUGUGCAGUGAAAUGUUUGUGCAUUGGGCCUGAAACAUCUUUCAAAGCUAAAAUGACAUCACAUUUGCUCAUGGUUAUUAAAUUCACGAUCUAGAUCAUAGGAUCAUACAAUUCUAUGAUCCAGAUUCACCCAAACGAUCCAAGUCAGCAAAAAUCAGAAUCAAGUAGAAUCGUGGUAGAAUUGUAAAAGAAUCGGUAGAAUCAUAGAAUCGGAACCAUAGAAUCGUAAGUAGAAUGGUACAGAUCCUACUCUGUUACCUGGAUUAGGAUUUUUUUCCCCUUUUUGGGCUUCAAUAAUGUGGCCCAACACAUGUUUUUAUUGCCCAAAGGAUGUUUCGUCCAAAGUCUUCUAAAACUGGGGCAAAAAAUGGCUCCCAGCCUCCCAUCAGUGAACAGAUUCAGCAGAAUUUGCACCUGAUUUCCCUGGAAUUCGACACCUCAGUCCUCUAUCCCUCAUUGAAAUUCAGCAACCCUGCACCUGAAUUUCUCUCCUGUUCGACAACCAGAGAGCCCUCCAUCUGAUGACUGGUGGUUGAUCAGCAGCAGCUAGCAGUCUUGCUGUUUAAUCAACAGUUCUUUGGCAUUCAACAAUCAGAGUUCCUGGGGUUUGAAAAAAAGUCAGUCCUCAGUCCUUAGUCCUCUUCCUUCUUUGGUGUUUGACAAGAACACAUCAGUCAUCUUCAACACAGAGCAGCAGCCAAGAAAAGAGCCAAGCCAGCUGGCCCAGUAGAACUGCAGAGAUGUCCUUUUGAUCUGAGAAUGCUUUUGAACCACUGAACAGAACUCUUUGGAAUUCUUGUCAAGUUAUUCUUGUAAUCCACAAAGUAGAGGCCAAACCGGACAGUAUAGCCUGAGUUCCAUUCCCAGUUGUCAAGCAAAGACCACACAAAGAACUAAUAACAGCAGCAUCAGAUGUAGCAUCCUGAAGUAUCAGUUUCCGAAUCCCUGCCCUGUCAUUACGGGCAUAUAAUGUAGUAUAAUGAUUUAUGCCAACAAAAUCCAAGGACCCCGCAAGGAAUUUUGACAUCACAUUUGAGAUCUCAGGCAAUCUCUUACCCACAAGCUUCUGCAUUGAAAGGGGAUAUUCCCCAAAGAACAGGGGAUCAAGGAACCUGAUUCACAUUUUAUGCAUUAUGUGAGUAUAUAUGAACUCAAUUUCUUACUUUGCAUCAUGAGUCAAUAUUUGUAAGAUAUUCUCCUUAACUAGUUACCAUCCAAUUCCAAAAUCCAUCGCUCUUUGUGCAGCAUCCUUGUCUUCAUCACUAUUAGAAAGAGUUGACUGCCUAUUGGAAUAAAAUCUAGUAAAAGAAUUAUACUGAGAGUCAAAGGAAUACCUUGAAAUGGAGCUGGUAGUUAUGAUAAACAGCUGCAUGAGCCAGGAGAAUAUUGUGGGCCACCAGGUAUGGUUCAGUGGAUGAUUUUCCUGCCUUACAGAAAAUGUGACCAAGAAUAGAGCACCUACCAGGUGCUUGAACGCCUGUGUCAUAACCUUGAAGUGAAAAACCACGAGGCUCAUUAAAGGUGAUCCAGUGUUUCACCCUAUCUCCAAAUGCUUGGAAGCAGAGGGAAGCAUAAUGCUCAAAGUCUUUUCUGAAAUUGAAUGGAAGCUAUCUUAAAUCCUGCAUUGAUGGGUAUUCCCAAAAAAUGUAAUCCAUGAUUCUAAUAUACGUACACUAUUUGUCUACUCAACCACCCUUCAUAUUUAUCUUCAAGCAUCUGAGGAAGAUCCCAAUGAUAAAGAGUUACAUAGGGCUGGAUUCCUGAUGGCCAAAAGAAAAAUGGUGUUGAACUUUAAUCUUUCAUACGCAAGUCUAUUUGUCAAAGAAUUAUAUCAGAAUGACCUUUUUCUAGUAAAGCAUCUAUAAGAUUGUUGUAGUAAUCUAAUCCUUCUGGAUUCAGUUCGCCUGUCCCAUCUGUUAAAGAUAAAUUCUGUUACAGUUAAGCGAGUAUUAAAUGUCGGCAGGAAAUCUGGAAAAGGAAAAUUUCUGCAGGAAGUCGUAUCUUACUUGGUAGGAUUCUUGACCAUGAUAUUGAGAAUCUGUAAGCAUCCAUUCCCAGGUCCUUCAUCAGGUUUAUAUCACUCUGUAAUGUUGAGUUUUUUUUUUUUUCCACAUUUCAGUAAGAGACAAAAUGGUUUGGUUUCUUUGAUUGACCAUUUAGCUUUUCAGUUGUAUAUGCCAGUUGUCUUUACAUAAACAAACUAUUCUUAUUCUUUUCUCGUGGAGGUCACAAUCUCUAUCCUUUAAUGUUAUUUUCUUUAUACCAUCUUUAUCCUCAUUCACAUCAUGUUUUGGGGAACAUUCUUC